Molecule: ribosomal RNA, 495 nt
Filed under: uncultured bacterium
Lineage: Bacteria
Description: partial 16S ribosomal RNA
Rfam family: Bacterial small subunit ribosomal RNA
Source: RNAcentral
GAUGAACGCUGGCGGCGUGCCUAAUACAUGCAAGUCGAGCGAACAGACGAGGAGCUUGCUCCUCUGACGUUAGCGGCGGACGGGUGAGUAACUCGUGGAUAACCUACCUAUAAGACUGGGAUAACUUCGGGAAACCGGAGCUAAUACCGGAUAAUAUAUUGAACCGCAUGGUUCAAUAGUGAAAGACGGUUUUGCUGUCACUUAUAGAUGGAUCCGCGCCGCAUUAGCUAGUUGGUAAGGUAACGGCUUACCAAGGCAACGAUGCGUAGCCGACCUGAGAGGGUGAUCGGACACACUGGAACAGAGACACGGUCCAGACUCCUACGGGAGGCAGCAGUAGGGAAUCUUCCGCAAAGGGCGAAAGCCUGACGGAGCAACGCCGCGUGAGUGAUGAAGGUCUUCGGAUCGUAAAACUCUGUUAUUAGGGAAGAACAAAUGUGUAAGUAACUAGGCACGUCUUGACGAAACCUAAUCAGAAAGCCACGGCUAACUACG